Molecule: ribosomal RNA, 490 nt
Filed under: uncultured bacterium
Lineage: Bacteria
Description: partial 16S ribosomal RNA
Rfam family: Bacterial small subunit ribosomal RNA
Source: RNAcentral
AUUGAACGCUGGCGGCAGGCCUAACACAUGCAAGUCGAACGGUAACAGGAAGAAGCUUGCUUCUUUGCUGACGAGUGGCGGACGGGUGAGUAAUGUCUGGGAAACUGCCUGAUGGAGGGGGAUAACUACUGGAAACGGUAGCUAAUACCGCAUAACGUCGCAAGACCAAAGAGGGGGACCUUCGGGCCUCUUGCCAUCGGAUGUGCCCAGAUGGGAUUAGCUAGUAGGUGGGGUAACGGCUCACCUAGGCGACGAUCCCUAGCUGGUCUGAGAGGAUGACCAGACACACUGGAACUGAGACACGGUCCAGACUCCUACGGGAGGCAGCAGUGGGGAAUAUUGCACAAUGGGCGCAAGCCUGAUGCAGCCAUGCCGCGUGUAUGAAGAAGGCCUUCGGGUUGUAAAGUACUUUCAGCGGGGAGGAAGGGAGUAAAGUUCAUACCUUUGCUCAUUGACGUUACCCGCAGAAGAGGCACCGGCUAACUCCGUG